Molecule: ribosomal RNA, 440 nt
Filed under: uncultured bacterium
Lineage: Bacteria
Description: partial 16S ribosomal RNA
Rfam family: Bacterial small subunit ribosomal RNA
Source: RNAcentral
CCUACGGGAGGCUGCAGUGGGGAAUAUUGGACAAUGGGGGGAACCCUGAUCCAACGACGCCGCGUGAGUGAAGAAGUAUUUCGGUAUGUAAAGCUCUAUCAGCAGGGAAGAAAAUGACGGUACCUGACUAAGAAGCCCCGGCUAACUACGUGCCAGCAGCCGCGGGAAUACGUAGGGGGCAAGCGUUAUCCGGAUUUACUGGGUGUAAAGGGAGCGUAGACGGUGCAGCAAGUCUGAUGUGAAAGGUCGGGGCCCAACCCCGGGACUGCAUUGGAAACUGUUGAACUGGAGUACAGGAGAGGUAAGCGGAAUUCCUAGUGUAGCGGUGACAUGCGUAGAUAUUAGGAGGAACACCAGUGGCGAAGGCGGCUUACUUGACUGUAACUGACGUUGCGGCUCGAAAGCGUGGGGAGCAAACAGGAUUAGAUACCCGUGUAGUC